Molecule: long non-coding RNA, 512 nt
Filed under: Homo sapiens (human)
Lineage: Eukaryota; Metazoa; Chordata; Mammalia; Primates; Hominidae
Description: non-protein coding lnc-AP3S1-16:1
Source: RNAcentral
AGUGCAGUGGCGCGAUCUGCGCUCACUGCAACCUCCGCUGGGAACUUAGCGCUGGGGAGCAUCUAGGGAGUGGUAAAGGGCUCAUUUUGCCCUAGGGUGCUAAUCGUUGGUGGUAGAGCGCUUUGCAAUUUGCGGAGUUUUCUCAUAAGUAAUAAUAAAUAUUUGGGGGAAGCAGCUGGGCAAGGAGCGCGAAUUCUAAGAGCAGACUGCAGGAGUGCUUAAUCCCUGCUUUGCCACGUACUGGCUGUGUGACGUCCGGCCACUUGCUUAAAUUCUCUGCCUCAGUGUGUAUCUGUAGAAUGGAGAUAAUAGCACCUACCAUAGAGAAUUAUUACAAAGUACCAAUAUUUGGAAAAAGUACCUAGAAGUGGUUGGUACAUAGCAAGCACUAGAUGAACUUUUGUUAAAUUAAACGUCACAGUGCAAUCAAUACAUUACAUACCACAAGAUAGGCAAAAAUUUUAAGUGUAACAAUAACAGAUAUUGGUCGACUUAUAGAGCCACAAAACCUC